GAUGAACGCUGGCGGCGUGCCUAAUACAUGCCAGUCGAGCGAACGGACGAGAAGCUUGCUUCUCUGAUGUUAGCGGCGGACGGGUGAGUAACACGUGGAUAACCUACCUAUAAGACUGGGAUAACUUCGGGAAACCGGAGCUAAUACCGGAUAAUAUUUUGAACCGCAUGGUUCAAAAGUGAAAGACGGUCUUGCUGUCACUUAUAGAUGGAUCCGCGCUGCAUUAGCUAGUUGGUAAGGUAACGGCUUACCAAGGCAACGAUGCAUAGCCGACCUGAGAGGGUGAUCGGCCACACUGGAACUGAGACACGGUCCAGACUCCUACGGGAGGCAGCAGUAGGGAAUCUUCCGCAAUGGGCGAAAGCCUGACGGAGCAACGCCGCGUGAGUGAUGAAGGUCUUCGGAUCGUAAACCUCUGUUAUUAGGGAAGAACAUAUGUGUAAGUAACUGUGCACAUCUUGACGGUACCUAAUCAGAAAGCCACGGCUAACUACGUG
This 497-nucleotide ribosomal RNA is filed under the name uncultured bacterium. RNAcentral describes it as "partial 16S ribosomal RNA". It matches the Rfam family "Bacterial small subunit ribosomal RNA", at positions 28 to 507 of the family's 1533-position model. The record is from RNAcentral.